Molecule: ribosomal RNA, 253 nt
Filed under: uncultured prokaryote
Description: partial 16S ribosomal RNA
Rfam family: Bacterial small subunit ribosomal RNA
Source: RNAcentral
UACGGGGGGGGCAAGCGUUGUUCGGAAUUACUGGGCGUAAAGGGCUCGUAGGUGGCCAACUAAGUCGGACGUGAAAUCCCUCGGCUUAACCGGGGAACUGCGUCCGAUACUGGAUGGCUUGAGUGUGGGAGAGGGAUGCGGAAUUCCAGGUGUAGCGGUGAAAUGCGUAGAUAUCAAGAGGAACACCUGAGGUGAAGACGGGUUGCUGGGCUGACACUGACGCUGAGGCGCGAAAGCCAGGGGAGCAAACGGG